AUUGAACGCUGGCGGUAGGCCUAACACAUGCAAGUCGAACGGCAGCACAGUAAGAGCUUGCUCUUACGGGUGGCGAGUGGCGGACGGGUGAGGAAUACAUCGGAAUCUACUUUUUCGUGGGGGAGAACGUAGGGAAACUUACGCUAAUACCGCAUACGACCUACGGGUGAAAGCAUGGGAUCUUCGGACCUUGCGCGAUUGAAUGAGCCGAUGUCGGAUUAGCUAGUUGGCGGGGUAAAGGCCCACCAAGGCGACGAUCCGUAGCUGGUCUGAGAGGAUGAUCAGCCACACUGGAACUGAGACACGGUCCAGACUCCUACGGGAGGCAGCAGUGGGGAAUAUUGGACAAUGGGCGAAAGCCUGAUCCAGCCAUACCGCGUGGGUGAAGAAGGCCUUCGGGUUGUAAAGCCCUUUUGUUGGGAAAGAAAAGCAGCAGGUUAAUACCCCGCUGUUCUGACGGUACCCAAAGAAUAAGCACCGGCUAACUUCGUG
This 492-nucleotide ribosomal RNA is filed under the name uncultured bacterium. Its description in RNAcentral is "partial 16S ribosomal RNA". It matches the Rfam family "Bacterial small subunit ribosomal RNA", at positions 30 to 507 of the family's 1533-position model. The record is from RNAcentral.